Molecule: non-coding RNA, 521 nt
Organism: Cinara cedri
Lineage: Eukaryota; Metazoa; Arthropoda; Insecta; Hemiptera; Aphididae
Source: the annotation of a GenBank genome assembly
AAGUAUCCAGGGUGUUGUGUCUCAAUUUCGCCAUUGGCUUCUUUUUGUUCCUUAGUUUUUUCUAAAGCAGCAACUUGCUUCUCUGUUAAAAUUAUACCGUCUUGGACCACCUUCGCUUCCAGCGCCUUCAACCUCUUUUUAAAAUUUUCGAGUUUGCCGUAUUGACCUUAUCCCACUAGCAGAUAUUAGAAUUCCUUUUUUCUUUAAUUCAUUAGCUGCUCUUUCUUGUCCAUAUGCUGGAAACUCUACUAACUACUGCUUCUUCUGUAUCCUUUGGUACUCUAUUGGCAAGUAAUGGUUUGCUUUUGUUUAUCUCGUAUAAUCCCUCCUGUUUCAUACAGCUCUUUGAAGCGGUAAAAUGUAUCCCUUCAUUACUUUACACGCCUGUGAUACAUUUCCUAAUUGCUUUGCAAGUUCUAGCAACCCCAACUUUGGUUUUAGUAUUUUUUCUUGUGUUUUACUCAUAUCUGACACUCCUUUAAAAUUUAUUUAUAUUUUUAUCUUACUUUGUUAAUCUGUCA